Molecule: ribosomal RNA, 492 nt
Filed under: uncultured bacterium
Lineage: Bacteria
Description: partial 16S ribosomal RNA
Rfam family: Bacterial small subunit ribosomal RNA
Source: RNAcentral
AGUGAACGCUGGCGGUAGGCCUAACACAUGCAAGUCGAACGGCAGCACAGUAAGAGCUUGCUCUUACGGGUGGCGAGUGGCGGACGGGUGAGGAAUACAUCGGAAUCUACUUUUUCGUGGGGGAUAACGUAGGGAAACUUACGCUAAUACCUCAUACGACCUACGGGUUAAAGCAGGGGAUCUUCGCACCUUGCGCGAUUGAAUGAGCCGAUGUCGGAUUAGCUAGUUGGCGGGGUAAAGGCCCACCAAGGCGACGAUCCGUAGCUGGUCUGAGAGGAUGAUCAGCCACACUGGAACUGAGACACGGUCCAGACUCCUACGGGAGGCAGCAGUGGGGAAUAUUGGACAAUGGGCGCAAGCCUGAUCCAGCAAUACCGCGUGGGUGAAGAAGGCCUUCGGGUUGUAAAGCCCUUUUGUUGGGAAAGAAAAGCAGCAGGUUAAUACCCCGCUGUUCUGACGGUACCCAAAGAAUAAGCACCGGCUAACUUCGUG